Molecule: ribosomal RNA, 253 nt
Filed under: uncultured bacterium
Lineage: Bacteria
Description: partial 16S ribosomal RNA
Rfam family: Bacterial small subunit ribosomal RNA
Source: RNAcentral
UACGGAGGGUGCAAGCGUUAUCCGGAUUCACUGGGUUUAAAGGGUGCGUAGGAGGACUGGUAAGUCAGUGGUGAAAUCCCCGAGCUUAACUUGGGAACUGCCGUUGAUACUAUCAGUCUUGAAUACCGUGGAGGUGAGCGGAAUAUGUCGUGUAGCGGUGAAAUGCUUAGAUAUGACAUAGAACACCAAUUGCGAAGGCAGCUCGCUACACGAAUAUUGACUCUGAGGCACGAAAGCGUGGGGAUCAAACAGG